AUACGUAGGGCGCGAGCGUUGUCCGGAAUUACUGGGUGUAAAGGGAGCGUAGGCGGGAGUGCAAGUCAGAUGUGAAAUACAUGGGCUCAACCCAUGGGCUGCAUUUGAAACUGCAUUUCUUGAGUGAAGUAGAGGUAAGCGGAAUUCCUGGUGUAGCGGUGAAAUGCGUAGAUAUCAGGAGGAACACCGGUGGCGAAGGCGGCUUACUGGGCUUUUACUGACGCUGAGGCUCGAAAGCGUGGGGAGCAAACAGGAUUAGAUACCCUGGUAGUCCACGCUGUAAACGAUGAUUACUAGGUGUGGGGGGAUUGACCCCUUCCGUGCCGCAGUUAACACAAUAAGUAAUCCACCUGGGGAGUACGGCCGCAAGGUUGAAACUCAAAUGAAUUGACGGGU
This 396-nucleotide ribosomal RNA is filed under the name uncultured bacterium. RNAcentral describes it as "partial 16S ribosomal RNA". It matches the Rfam family "Bacterial small subunit ribosomal RNA", at positions 523 to 918 of the family's 1533-position model. The record is from RNAcentral.